RNAcentral lists this ribosomal RNA (378 nucleotides) under uncultured eukaryote. RNAcentral's name for it is "partial 18S ribosomal RNA". It matches the Rfam family "Eukaryotic small subunit ribosomal RNA", at positions 592 to 976 of the family's 1831-position model. The record is from RNAcentral.
CAAUAGCGUAUAUUUAAGUUGUUGCAGUUAAAAAGCUCGUAGUUGAAACUUGGGCCUGGCUGGCGGGUCCGCCUCACCGCGUGCACUCGUCCGGCCGGGCCUUCCUUCUGAAGAACCUCAUGCCCUUCACUGGGCGUGCUGGGGAAUCAGGACUUUUACUUUGAAAAAAUUAGAGUGUUCAAAGCAGGCCUUUGCUCGAAUACGUUAGCAUGGAAUAAUAAAAUAGGACGUGCGGUUCUAUUUUGUUGGUUUUUGGAAUCGCCGUAAUGAUUAAUAGGGACAGUCGGGGGCAUUAGUACUCACAUGCUAGAGGUGAAAUUCUUGGAUUUUGUGAAGACUAACUUCUGCGAAAGCAUUUGACAAGGAUGUUUUCAUUAA